CCUACGGGAGGCAGCAGUGAGGAAUAUUGGUCAAUGGGCGCGAGCCUGAACCAGCCAAGUCGCGUGAAGGAUGACUGCCCUACGGGUUGUAAACUUCUUUUAUAAAGGAAUAAAGUGAGGCACGUGUGCCUUUUUGUAUGUACUUUAUGAAUAAGGAUCGGCUAACUUCGUGCCAGCAGCCGCGGUAAUACGGAGGAUCCGAGCGUUAUCCGGAUUUAUUGGGUUUAAAGGGAGCGUAGAUGGGUUGUUAAGUCAGUUGUGAAAUAUUGGGGCUCAACCGUAAAAUUGCAAUUGAUACUGGCCGUCUUGAGUAUAGUUGAGGUAGGCGGAAUUCGUGGUGUAGCGGUGAAAUGCGUAGAGAUCACGAAGAACUCCGAUUGCGAAGGCAGCUUACUAAACUGACACUGACAUUGAUGCUCGAAAGUGUGGGUAGCAAACAGGAUUAGAUACCCCUGUAGUC
Molecule: ribosomal RNA, 460 nt
Filed under: uncultured bacterium
Lineage: Bacteria
Description: partial 16S ribosomal RNA
Rfam family: Bacterial small subunit ribosomal RNA
Source: RNAcentral